RNAcentral lists this long non-coding RNA (4562 nucleotides) under Capsicum annuum. RNAcentral describes it as "long non-coding RNA (CANN_LNC008374)". The record is from RNAcentral. Lineage: Eukaryota; Viridiplantae; Streptophyta; Magnoliopsida; Solanales; Solanaceae.
GAUGUAAUUGAUUUACAGUUUCCAUACUUAUGAUGAAUUCAGAAAUAAUUUUCAUAAAUAUCAAAAAAGGCAUAAAUGCCUACAGAAUAGCAAAUGGGGAAUAUAAUCUUUGGGGAAAGGAAAAAUAAAAUGCGAGGAAAACAAACUCACAAAGUUGACAAUAGAAAACACUAGUAUCCGAAUGAUCCCUUGUCGGCCUUCGCCUUCUUGGGUAAACCCACCUCAUGCCAUACACGAUACCUGUUGGUGAUCGGAUGUCUUCUACAAAAUUAAAGCUUCCAAGGAAAGACAAAUAUCCGAUAUGCAUUAUAAGGAUUUUACCGUCUUGCGCACUCAUAUAUUUCCACCAAUCGUUCGACUUAAUCAUUAUCUUGAAUCCUCUUAUGGGAUUGGUUAAUCCAUACCUACACAAAAGGAAACAAGGUAAGCUUUUCUCCCCACACCAAAUAAUGAUAUUGGAUUAGAUUUAUUGACACAUACUACUUCAACUUAUAAAUAUGAUUCACUGUGAUUGACUCAUGGUCACUAGACAUUGGGUAGAUUUUUUAAUGGACCUAAUGCCCCCUCUUAUAUAUAUCCCCCCCCCCCCCCCCCCCCCCCCAAUACAUAGAGGUUUUGGAUUCCCUAGUCUUAUGCAUAAAAAUGAUUUUGAUUUUGCUCUAUCCUAGAUAUCUAGAGUGAAUUUUGACCAGGUUUUCAAGUGGAUAACUUAGGUUUUGAAAUACAAAUAGUCAUCGGACACCUAACACAACAAUAAACUGUCAUACUUCCAACACUUUCAUUUGAAAUUAAUCAAUAAAGGCCACGACAACCGCGAAACUCCAAAAAUUUAAGGAUCAAUAAGUAAGUAUGUCAUGAAUGCAGAUGAUAGAUUAUCACAAGAUAUUACUAAUCUAGCAUAGUUAUUCAAAUAAGCUCAAAUAAAUCAAAUAGUUUAAAAAAUAGUUAGAAUCUUAAUAAAUUCCCUUGCAGAGUCAUCAGUUCUGUUUUAUACCUUUUCGAAUCGAAGUUGGAAAACAUGGGUCUUUGACUUUUAAACUAUUUCAAAACUUUAAAGAAAAUCUCAAAAUAAUUUAAGAAAAUACAGAGUCGCACACUUAAUUUUUAAGAAAAUAUCAAGAAAAAAAUAAAAAUAUUUCAAAAUUUCUAAACCAGAAAUAAAUCCUUUUAAGCAUAGAAACUGGGUAAGGAGAUUCACAUAAAACCUUGAGAAGAAUUUUAAGACACUCAACAAGCAUCCACAAAACGACUGACCAAUAGAUAAUUUGGCUGAUUUGCAAAAAUGACUAAUUUUAAAAGCUUGACUAACUUUGUAAAAUCUGAAAUUUAUUUGCAAAUAGGACAUUCAUUUCUUUCAAGUGAAAAAAGUAAUUUACCUAAAUUAAUGGAAGAUCUACUUAAACUAAUUUUCAAAUUAUAUAUAAUAUUCAAGAGAACACAUCAUUUUAUGAAGAAAAAGUUAGUUUAGUCAAAAUAGAAAAAAUGUUUUUCAAAAGGUGAAAAUUUUUGGAAAAAAUGUCAAAUUGAGACAAGUAUUAGAUUAAUUAUAAACACUUGAAUUUCAAGAGGAUUAUUUUAAUAUCAGAAAAAGUCACUUUAACCUAAAUAAAUCACUAAUUAUAUGAACAAAAGUAAAUUUCAUUUUUUUUUGGAAGGCUUACUCUAAAGGGAAAACAUAAAUAAACUUACUUUUAUUAACCUAAGAUAUUAGACUGUCACAAAUGAUAAAGAAAAAAAGGUUGAGAAAAUGGGUUUUGAAAUCAUUUGGACCUGCUAGACUUUAAUCCUCAAUUUUUCAUGAUCUUUUUAGUCCAUUUCCAAUUUUUUUUCCACCUUUGAUAUCAAUGUAUAUCAGCUCCCCUUUUGUAGCAUUUAGGGACACAUUUUUUCAACUUUGAUUUUUUACCCAUUUUUGGGCCUUGACAUUUGACUCAAUGCUAUUGGGCCUUGGACCAUCGAAGAUGCAAAAUGAGAUAGUCCGUUAGGACGCAGACAAAUAUCACAUGCAUCAAAUAAUAGAUAAGGAUUAGCACAUGGUGAAUAUAAUGUAACUUGAUGUUAACAUACUUUUGAAAUAAGCAAGAUCACAUGCGCAUAAAGUCACAGACUUUGCUUAGGAAAACUUUAUGCAUAACAAUGGAAGGUAAAGCUUAGUAGAUAAAAUACAUAAGUCCAUACUACAUUUAGUUGCAAAGAAGUAACAAACUAUUCAUAUUUGUCAUAUGUUUACAGAGAAGUGGUAGGCAUUAGAGGUGUACAAGAAUCGAACCGAUAAACCAAACCGAUAAAAAUGUUAUUGAUUUAUUGUUAUUGGGUUAUUGGAUUAACGAUUUUUUAAUGAUUUUAUAAAAAAAAAAAUUAUUGAGUUAUUUGUUCGGUUCGAUUUUUUCUUAUUGGGUUAUAAUAUAUAUAUAUAUAUAUAUAUAUAUAUAUAUGACUUAUUAUAUAUUUCUUAGAAUCUCUUUAAUUUCUACAAAUUAACAAACUUAUUAUUUCAAUUAUACAAACUCUUAAUUUCUCCCAACAACGUUUAGUUCAAACUUGAAUGUUCUAGUAAAUUAAAACACAUCAUGUAGGAUUUUUGGUGGCAACUAAAAUUCAAUUUUUUUUCAUAUUAGUUACCACUAAUUCUAUUUUAUGAAUAUUUUCUUAUCGGUUAAACCAAAAACCUAACCGUUAGGCAAAUAUAGAUUAUGCAGCCAUUUAGAAUUUCAUGUUAAUGUAAGGAAAAAUUCAAAAUAUACUUUGACAGGUUUUAAUACAUUCUAUUCGAAAAAUAAUGCAAAGAACUAAGAAUUGCCUUCAUUUUAACACCAGAGACAUCCAUGCACUAAAACCCAUUCACAAUUCUUGCUUAGAGUUCCCAGUGAUGAAAAUAUACCAUAGUGAAGAUAUGUUUCACCUUUGUGUUCUGAUCACAAAAAAAAGGGAAAAAAAAUCUGACUACAUGAAUAUUACUGCUGGAAGAGCAUCUAGAAGCAGGCUUGUGGUGAAGGAGAUGAAUAAUGUUCGAUAUUCAUUUACGUCCUCUUGCCCUAUUAAAGAAGAGAACUCAAGAGGCUUCAUCCCCUCCUUGAGAAAGACACUUAUUAGCUAAUUCAAGAGGUCCUUGGGGAAUUCUCAACUUAGAAAACACACUCAAGCUCCUACUUCAGUGAUAUAAAACAAUCAAACAAGAAUAUAAUUGCAAACGGACAAAUUGAUGUCUAUCCUUAAACAUUGUUAUGCUUCAAAACAUAUAAAAAUCUCAUUUUUUUUCACAUCUAAGACCUAUCUCAGUUCCAAAUAAACACAAAAAGGGAAAUCAUUUCAUACUUUACGCUACAAUUUCAAAGAUUUUUUACGGCAUCAAAACAUAUAUAUGUACGUAGGUUCAUACAAGACCAUUCCAAUUAUUUCGCAUAUAUGACCCCAAAUAGAGUUGCCAUGAUUCAACACAAGGGGAAACAGAUUAACAUGCAUAAUUACCUAUUCAUAUGGCUCAUACCAAGACAGGACUUAGCUAAGCGGCGAUAAUUUUUGAAAAUUAGCGUGGAAGUUUCAAACAAGUAGUAUGCAGGCCACUACUAUAUCACGCUACUGAAUUUAAAAGAAUUUGACAAGAUGUAAUGAAUAGCAAAAUCACUUAAAUUUGGCGCGAAACAAACAAAACCACAACCCAUAACAGAGAAGGUAAUUUAGACAAAACAAAUUACCUUUUCUAAAGCAGCACAUUGGGAAUACAAGUUUUCAGAGACGAAACUUCCACCGAAACUGUAUUAUCAAAUUUAUUUCACCAGAGUUCAAAUUCAGACUCGUCGAAGAUCCACAAUUUAUUUCCGAAAUUUGAAUAUAUUUCUUCGUGAGUUUUGGUUUUGUCCGAUAGGAGCAUGCGCCUCUCGAAUUUUUAAUUUUUUUUCCAAAAAUCACUCUUCCUUCAGCCUUUAACUCACUGCCAAUUUAUAUAUAAAAGAAAGGCGGGGCAUUUUGGGUGGAAACAAAGGUGUAGAUUAGGGACUUAUGUCUUUUUGGAUAAGGGUUUUUGAAAAUCGAAUUGAAUUCUACCUAAUUGAGCCACGUUAGUACUAUAGGGCACAAAAUCGUGGGCAAUUGGACACUUGCGAUUCAACAACAACAACAACAAACAACAACAACAAACCUAGUGUAUUCCCACACACUUGCAAUUCAAUUAGGGUAAAAUAAAAAUUUGGGAAUUUGGGAAAAGUCCAAACCAAUGAGCAUGGUUCAUGUAUGUACUGUAUAGUACUAGAUUGCUGGAAUUUUGCUACACCUUAAGGGAUUUGAAUGCUGGCUUCGACGAGGUGUUGCAUUCCUAGAAGCUUUGAGGGAAUUAAAUGGAGUUUCUGACAAAACCCCAUGAGGUUUUGAUGGUGUUGGGGCAUCGUUUGAGGCUGUUGUUUGAUGGAAAUGUUGGGUUGUAUGGUGAGAUGUUGUUUGUAUGUUUUUGCCGAUGUUGAAGUUGUUGUCGGUGUAUGCUGGAUAAGUGGAGGAAUAAUGUUUGGGCCGGAUCGGAUCAGGCGAGUGAUGAGGUUUUAAAUUUAGGUUAUUUAACCGAUAGCUCA